AUCGAAGAGGAGCGACCAACAUAAGUAAUGGUUACGAGUUUUUACCCGAUGAUGACUAACUGUAAAAGGGGCGGUCGCCGAAGCGGUGAUGAUGGUAAUAAGUCACUGAGCUGGGUCGUGGUUGAAUAAACUACGGACUGUCGCAAGACAAUAUCAGCUUGCGGUGCGCUAUCG
This 174-nucleotide non-coding RNA is filed under the name Limosilactobacillus coleohominis. RNAcentral describes it as "Lysine riboswitch". It matches the Rfam family "Lysine riboswitch aptamer". Rfam says of the family: Riboswitches are metabolite binding domains within certain messenger RNAs that serve as precision sensors for their corresponding targets. Lineage: Bacteria; Bacillati; Bacillota; Bacilli; Lactobacillales; Lactobacillaceae. The record is from RNAcentral.